Non-coding RNA from Pelobates cultripes (western spadefoot toad), 392 nucleotides. NCBI's taxonomy places the organism in Eukaryota, Metazoa, Chordata, Amphibia, Anura, Pelobatidae. The record is from the annotation of a GenBank genome assembly.
CUCGGUAUUCUGGGGCAUGUAGUUGUAUCAUAAACUACAUGCCCAAGCUUACUUCUGGGAGAAUUGUGGAGCCAUAUGAUAGGCUCAAAAGAGGGGAGUGGCCGAGGACCGGAGGGGAGAGGAGGGGAGAGGAAUGGGUAAUGGCCGGAAAACGGCUAGGUAAAAAAGGAAAUGGGUGUGGCGGCCAUCUUGGUAGGGGAAUAGACACCAUAAAGCUAUGUAAAAAACAUAGCAGCGGCCAUAUUGGAGGUGGCAAAAAACAUAUUAGUGGUAAAUAAGCAUUUUUGCACAAAAAGAAAGGGUAAAAAAAAAGGGAACAAUUAUAGGAACACAUAAAUAGAAAAAGACAUGUUACUUGUAACAUAAUGGAAUGUGGCAUAAUAAUAAACAGC